AGAGAGAGACAUGCGCGCAUAUCAAUAAGCGGAGGAAAAGAAACUAACAAGGAUUCCCCUAGUAACGGCGAGUGAAGCGGGAAGAGCUCAAAUUUGAAGUCUUAAAGGGUUUACCUUUACGAAUUGUAGUUUAAAGAAGUGUUUUCUGUUGAGGUUUCGGUAAAAGUUCUUUGGAAUAGGACAUCAUAGAGGGUGAGAAUCCCGUAUUUGACCGUUAUUUUCAACUUUGUGAUACACUUUCAAAGAGUCGGAUUGUUUGGGAAUGCAGUCCAAAAUGGGUGGUAAAUUUCAUCUAAAGCUAAAUAUUGGCGAGAGACCGAUAGCGAACAAGUACCGUGAGGGAAAGAUGAAAAGAACUUUGAAAAGAGAGUUAAACAGUACGUGAAAUUGUCAAAAGGGAAGCGUUUGACACCAGUGUUGUUUUUCUGAAAAUCAAUUAAAGAACUGUUUAUGCUAAGUUGUUUAGACUUUAUCAGCUAACUGUUUAGUUUUGAGCUUUUCUUUAAUGCACUUCUCAGUUAACAAGUCAACAUCAAUUUCUUUUGCUGUAAAAAAGCUUGAGGAAGGUGGCUUGAGAUUCGUCUUAAGUGUUUAUAGCCUCUUGCCUAUGCAGUCGGAGAGAUUGAGGUCUGCAGCGUAGAUCCUUCGGGGCUAAAUGCAUUUGUGCUAAGUUAUAGCAUUUUAUAGACAACUUGUUGACUAUGAUUUGUCUUGUAGCUUACUCGCUUAUGUUAUUUUACCUACGCUUAGGAUGUUGAAGACUCUACAGAGAUA
This 774-nucleotide ribosomal RNA is filed under the name uncultured Neocallimastigales. RNAcentral's name for it is "partial large subunit ribosomal RNA". It matches the Rfam family "Eukaryotic large subunit ribosomal RNA", at positions 23 to 633 of the family's 3401-position model. The record is from RNAcentral. Lineage: Eukaryota; Fungi; Neocallimastigomycota; Neocallimastigomycetes; Neocallimastigales.